Molecule: long non-coding RNA, 321 nt
Organism: Octopus bimaculoides (California two-spot octopus)
Lineage: Eukaryota; Metazoa; Mollusca; Cephalopoda; Octopoda; Octopodidae
Source: RefSeq, a predicted model, not a curated record
AUAGGAAUAACAGUGUGAUUAACUGAUGCAGUUGUUCCAGAAACAACACUAUGUGUAAAUGAUGUAAAUCUUUCAAGGAUUGUAUAUGGGCUAUAAAUUUCUAUCAAAUAAUGCACUGGUACUUGUAGCUAAUAAGGAAUCAAAAUAUUCUGAAAUAUGGAGAACAACCAAAGCCAUUUCAGCAUACAAGUUAAAUUUUUCCAACCAAAAUUUACAGUCAAAAAAGGUAAGCUGACUUAUACACCAAGAUGAUUUUGAAGGACAAACAAUUCCAUGAGAAAUGCAGCAGGACUUGGAAAGAUAGUGAUGAUGUUUGAAUGU